UACAGAGGUCUCAAGCGUUGUUCGGAUUCAUUGGGCGUCAAGGGUGUGUAGGUGGCGCCGUAAGUCGGGUGUGAAAUUUCGGAGCUUAACUCCGAAACUGCAUUCGAUACUGCGGUGCUUGAGGACUGGAGAGGAGACUGGAAUUCAUGGUGUAGCAGUGAAAUGCGUAGAGAUCAUGAGGAAGACCAGUGGCGAAGGCGGGUCUCUGGACAGUUCCUGACACUGAGACACGAAGGCCAGGGGAGCAAACGGG
This 253-nucleotide ribosomal RNA is filed under the name uncultured bacterium. RNAcentral describes it as "partial 16S ribosomal RNA". It matches the Rfam family "Bacterial small subunit ribosomal RNA", at positions 524 to 776 of the family's 1533-position model. The record is from RNAcentral.